CUUUCACACCUAGGUUCUUUUCAUUAGGGUUAGGUCACUUGGAGUUACAAAAAGGAAGAGUGUGAGCCUUGGAAACCCUUUGUGGGUGCUGAGUUUGAGAGAGAAAGAAAGAGAGGGAGUGCACGAGAAAGAGAGGAAAAGAAAGAAAGGAAAAGAGAAAGAAAGACAGAAAGAAGGAGAAGAAGGCUGGGGUUCAAAAUAUUUAGGUGUAUUUCGAAAUCCCUAGGUGCCCAAGGAUUUAUUUGCUUUGUGUUCUAGAACACUAUAGAGAAGUAAAAAAUAGGGUUUCUCCUUCGCACGUGCAGUGAUGUGGGGAGUUUCGACGUCUGAGUAUGUAUGGCGUGGGGUGUCCGAUGAACGAAUAACGAUCAAGUUGAGCGCCAAGAAUAAAUAAGAACUUAUCUUAUGAUUUUUAUUUCGAUUAUGUCAGUGGGACUUACAACUUUAUUUUAUUUCUGAAUAUUGCAUAAAGACACAUUAUUUUUAUUUUUAAAAUAUUGGGCCCAAAUUGCAUGUUU
This is a long non-coding RNA of Humulus lupulus (European hop), 518 nucleotides long. RefSeq lists it as uncharacterized. The record is from RefSeq and is a predicted model, not a curated record. The transcript has 3 exons. NCBI's taxonomy places the organism in Eukaryota, Viridiplantae, Streptophyta, Magnoliopsida, Rosales, Cannabaceae.